RNAcentral lists this ribosomal RNA (274 nucleotides) under Acanthamoeba sp. TW132. Its description in RNAcentral is "partial 18S ribosomal RNA". The record is from RNAcentral. Lineage: Eukaryota; Discosea; Longamoebia; Acanthamoebidae.
AUCGAAGACGAUCAGAUACCGUCGUAGUCUUAACCAUAAACGUUGCCGACCAGCGAUUAGGAGACGUUGAAUACAAAACACCACCAUCGGCGCGGUCGUCCUUUGGCGUUGUCGGCUUCACGGCUGGCGGCGCGAGGGCGGUUUAGCCCGGUGGCACCGGUGAAUGACUCCCUACAACCUUUUGGGAGACAAAAACAGGAGGGGGAUGUUGUAGGGAGGGGCCGGGGACCACGAGGGAAGAGAAAAAGAGGAGGCGGGGAUGGGGGUGGGAGGU